AGUUUCUGUCUCCGUCCAAAAAUUUAUUGGAUGUUUUUUAAUUCUAAUAUUAAAAAUAUAAAAUUUUGGUGGGGAGGAUUAUGACCCUUGGAUAAAGACAAAACUGAUACAUGACAGCAAAAUUGGAAGCUCUUUGACAAGGUUUUGUUAGGGGAGAUUCCCCGCUAAAGUUUUUUUUUUUUUUUUUGAGAUAGGUAGCAUGUUAUCUGCUUCGUUUAUUUCAUUUAGAAAUAAACUUAGUUAGAAGUGUGAAUCAAUUAGGAUUCGAACUUGGGACCUCGGAUAUCAAUCAUCAAGUAGCAUGUUAUCUGCUUCGUUUAUUUCAUUUAGAAAUAAACUUAGUUAGAAGUGUGAAUCAAUUAGGAUUCAAACUUAAGACCUCGGAUAUCAAUCAUCAAGUCCUUUGGCACUUGCGCUAGGGACGGUCGAUCCGCUGAAGUUUUUUUUCUCCUAAAUUCUGCUACAUGUGAGUGGGGAAAUUUUUUUUUUUGAAAAAAAUAACGUGCUAUCUGUUUCGUUUAUUUUUUAAAAAAUAAAUUUAGCAGAAAAUGUGAAGCAACUAGAUUUCGAACUUGAAACCUCAAGUUCUAACCAUUAAAUUUUUUGCCACUUGCGUUAGAGACGAUCAGUUAUGUGAGUGGGGAUGUUAAGACUAAUUCAGGUAACAGUUGGGGCACUUCUAUUUUUU
Molecule: long non-coding RNA, 688 nt
Filed under: Ananas comosus (pineapple)
Lineage: Eukaryota; Viridiplantae; Streptophyta; Magnoliopsida; Poales; Bromeliaceae
Description: long non-coding RNA (ACOM_LNC022949)
Source: RNAcentral